GACGAACGCUGGCGGCGUGCCUAAUACGUGCAAGUCGAGCGCAGGAAACUGACGGAACUCUUCGGAGGGAAGGCAGCGGAAUGAGCGGCGGACGGGUGAGUAACACGUAAGGAACCUGCCUCAAGGAUUGGGAUAACUCCGAGAAAUCGGAGCUAAUACCGGAUAGUUCAUCGGACCGCAUGGUCCGUUGAUGAAAGGCGCUCCGGCGUCACCUUGAGAUGGCCUUGCGGUGCAUUAGCUAGUUGGUGGGGUAACGGCCCACCAAGGCGACGAUGCAUGGCCGACCUGGGAGGGUGAUCGGCCACACUGGGACUGAGACACGGCCCAGACUCCUACGGGAGGCAGCAGUAGGGAAUCUUCCACAAUGGACGAAAGUCUGAUGGAGCAACGCCGCGUGAGUGAUGAAGGUUUUCGGAUCGUAAAACUCUGUUGUAAGGGAAGAACACGUACGAGAGGAAAUGCUCGUACCUUGACGGUACCUUACGAGAAAGCCACGGCUAACUACGUGCCAGCAGCCGCAGUAA
RNAcentral lists this ribosomal RNA (524 nucleotides) under uncultured bacterium. Its description in RNAcentral is "partial 16S ribosomal RNA". It matches the Rfam family "Bacterial small subunit ribosomal RNA", at positions 28 to 523 of the family's 1533-position model. The record is from RNAcentral.